GACGAACGCUGGCGGCGUGCUUAACACAUGCAAGUCGAACGGAAAGGCCCUGCUUUUGUGGGGUGCUCGAGUGGCGAACGGGUGAGUAACACGUGAGUAACCUGCCCUUGACUUUGGGAUAACUUCAGGAAACUGGGGCUAAUACCGGAUAGGAGCUCCUGCUGCAUGGUGGGGGUUGGAAAGUUUCGGCGGUUGGGGAUGGACUCGCGGCUUAUCAGCUUGUUGGUGGGGUAGUGGCUUACCAAGGCUUUGACGGGUAGCCGGCCUGAGAGGGUAACCAGGCACAUGGGUACUGAGAGACGGACCAGUAGCCUACGGGAGGCAGCAGUGGGGAAUAUUGCACAAUGGGCGGAAGCCUGAUGCAGCAACGCCGCGUGCGGGAUGACGGCCUUCGGGUUGUAAACCGCUUUCGACGGUGACGAAGCGUGAGUGACGGUAAUGGGUAAAGAAGCACCGGCUAACUACGUG
This 468-nucleotide ribosomal RNA is filed under the name uncultured bacterium. RNAcentral describes it as "partial 16S ribosomal RNA". It matches the Rfam family "Bacterial small subunit ribosomal RNA", at positions 28 to 507 of the family's 1533-position model. The record is from RNAcentral.